This 348-nucleotide long non-coding RNA is filed under the name Lathyrus oleraceus (garden pea). Its description in RNAcentral is "Pisum sativum (pea) long non-coding RNA (PSAT_LNC035954)". Lineage: Eukaryota; Viridiplantae; Streptophyta; Magnoliopsida; Fabales; Fabaceae. The record is from RNAcentral.
CCAAUGUUGAUUUGGUUAACCGGUUAACACCUUAAAAAAUGGGAAAAAUUCCAAUUUCCAUUAAUUCUCUCAGUAACUUCUUUCCUUAAUUAACUCCUCUUUUAUUUUGCUUUCCAUAUACCAUUUUUGCAUGAUUUUUCCACAACAAUCAACAUGAUAUCAACACAUAGCACGGAUAGGGAGUAUGAACACAACAAGUUUAUCACAAAUUCACACAAACCCUAACCCCACAAAUAUAGAUUAUUUUCCCCCAAAGGCUAAAACUAUCUAAGAACUCACCUAGUAGAAGAAGAAGAUGAAGUUGUUGAUGAUGAAGAUGAGAUGAUGGUGGUGAUGAACAUGAUUUCC